This 588-nucleotide ribosomal RNA is filed under the name uncultured bacterium. Its description in RNAcentral is "bacterial SSU rRNA". It matches the Rfam family "Bacterial small subunit ribosomal RNA", at positions 57 to 691 of the family's 1533-position model. The record is from RNAcentral.
GCAAGUCGAGCGCGCCCUUCGGGGUGAGCGGCGGACGGGUUAGUAACGCGUGGGAAUAUGCCCAAAGGUAGGGAAUAGCCUCUGGAAACGGAGAGUAAUACCCUAUGUGCCCUUCGGGGGAAAGAUUUAUCGCCUUUGGAUUAGCCCGCGUUAGAUUAGGUAGUUGGUGGGGUAAUGGCCUACCAAGCCUACGAUCUAUAGCUGGUUUUAGAGGAUGAUCAGCAACACUGGGACUGAGACACGGCCCAGACUCCUACGGGAGGCAGCAGUGGGGAAUCUUGGACAAUGGGCGCAAGCCUGAUCCAGCCAUGCCGCGUGAGUGAUGAAGGCCUUAGGGUCGUAAAGCUCUUUCGCCAGGGAUGAUAAUGACAGUACCUGGUAAAGAAACCCCGGCUAACUCCGUGCCAGCAGCCGCGGUAAUACGGAGGGGGUUAGCGUUGUUCGGAAUUACUGGGCGUAAAGCGCGCGUAGGCGGAUCGGAAAGUUGGGGGUGAAAUCCCGGGGCUCAACCCCGGAACUGCCUCCAAAACUAUCGGUCUAGAGUUCGAGAGAGGUGAGUGGAAUUCCGAGUGUANAGGUGAAAUUCGU